CCUACGGGAGACAGCAGUGAGGAAUAUUGGUCAAUGGCCGGAAGGCUGAACCAGCCAUGCCGCGUGAAGGCCAGGGUCCUAUGGGCGUUAAACUUCUUUUGUGCGGGAGCAAUAAUGGUCACGUGUGGCCAGACGAGAGUACCGUACGAAUAAGCAUCGGCUAACUCCGUGCCAGCAGCGGCGGUAAUACGGGGGAGGCAAGCGUUAUCCGGAUCUAUUGGGUUUAAAGGGUGCGUAGGCUGUGAGGUAAGUCAGCGGUGAAAUGCCCCCGCUCAACGGGGUGAAGUGCCAUUGAUACUGCCUUGCUGGAGUGCGGAUGCCGUGGGAGGAAUGUGUGGUGUAGCGGUGAAAUGCAUAGAUAUCACACAGAACACCGAUUGCGAAGGCAUCUCACGAAUCCGCGAUUGACGCUGAUGCACGAAAGCGUGGGUAUCAAACAGGAUUAGAUACCCUUGUAGUC
This 460-nucleotide ribosomal RNA is filed under the name uncultured bacterium. Its description in RNAcentral is "partial 16S ribosomal RNA". It matches the Rfam family "Bacterial small subunit ribosomal RNA", at positions 338 to 795 of the family's 1533-position model. The record is from RNAcentral.